CGGCACGGGUGAGUAACGCGUGGAUAAUCUACCCCGAGGCCUGGGAUAACCCGCCGAAAGGCGGGCUAAUACCGGAUAAUGUCCCACUACAUAAGUAGUGUGACCAUAGGAGGCUCUGCUUCCGCCACGGGAUGAGUCCGCGUACCAUUAACUAGUUGGUAGGGUAAAGGGCCUACCAAGGCUACGAUGGUUAGCUGGUCUGAGAGGACGAUCAGCCACACUGGAACUGAGACACGGUCCAG
This 242-nucleotide ribosomal RNA is filed under the name uncultured bacterium. Its description in RNAcentral is "partial 16S ribosomal RNA". It matches the Rfam family "Bacterial small subunit ribosomal RNA", at positions 100 to 334 of the family's 1533-position model. The record is from RNAcentral.